AUGCGAUCACUCUUAGGAAUCCUGUACUUGACCGUCUGACCGGUCAAACUACUCAUCAUAAUGGUCUUCGUAAUCAAAGUUAUUACAGGGCAACACACCAGACAACCCUAAUGUUAAGUGGUGAAGAUGAUAUGUCUAGCCCCACCAUUAACGUUCCAUCCAGUGAUAUCGUAUUAAUCGAGGAAGACAACCCUUACUCUAUGCCAUCCAACCGAAUACAAGGCUUGGAAAACAUUAGUGAUAAACCUCAAAGACAGCGAAACAGUACCAGUAGUGCCACAGACAUCACGUAUGCAAGCCAAUUAUCUCUAGAGGAAGCUGCUAAAGGUUUCUCAAGAGAUGCAUUUGGACGGCAAAGUAUGUCUGAAAACGUCACGCAACGCUAGAUGCCAAAAAUACCGACACAUACCAACGCAACAAGAAACUGCGUGAAGAAAGAGAGAAGGGUAAAUGGAAUGACUCAUCUGGCUCAAAUCACCGUAAGAAAUUGAUGAUGCAGGAAUUUAUUUUUCAUUUUCAUGAUGGAAUAACUGUCUUGAGUGAUGCUGAUCAUUUUCAUCCUAUCAAAAUAUUCUGCUAUUCAGUGCCUUGUCAAUGUUCCUAUUGAAUGCCAACAUUUUUACAAACCUUCUCCUUUGCAUUGCUGCAUUUAUUCAAGAUUUAAUCAAGAAUACUGCUUUAUUGGUCAAAAGAGCUGUCAGAGAGUUCAAUAUCAGUAGGGGACUGAUCUUAUAAUACCCAACUCCGGAAGGUGCUAUUUGGCACUAAAACAAGUUUCUGUCAAUACAAAAUCAGAGGGUAUCAUUUUUGAGUCAUUACAAAAUAUUCGGUUGCUUUUUUUUGGUGAAAUUUGGAGAGUUGAGGUUUGAAGAGAACCAAGAAUUGUGUAUUUAUCAUAAGGGACCUAAAUUUGCAUGACAGUUGCGUUGCGAGAAAGUGAGUAGUAAGAGCAAAAACUUGAAUAAAUUGGAUUGGGUAUUUUAUUGGCUGUCCCAAGGUUAUUGAGCGCAAAAUAGUCUGCAUUUUUAAGAAUUAAUUCUUGCCUGGAGACAUUAAAUGUAUUUUGACCUGAAUGAAACUAUCAUGGACUGAUUUUGUGGUUACUUUAUUUGACAUAAAUUGUAUAAAAAAAAUAAAAAGAAAUCAAUUACCAAUCUCUAUUACACUCUCAAAGUUGUCUGCUCUUUCCAAGAGCGUUUUUGAAUUUUUUCUGCUUUUGAAGAGUUCUAAAAUAAAAUAAGCCAAUUAAAUUACAAUCAUUCAACAUUCAUACAGCGGAUGAUGUUGCUGCUAAAACAAUCUUUUAUUUUGAUUGGAGGUGUUUCUUCCCAUUGCCUUGCUUCACCACUGUGCCACUGAUGCAUUCAUGUCUACAAGUUUGAAUAAUGUGCUGACGUAUCAGAAACUAUUUAGCCCUUUUUUAAUAUGUGACUUUCAAAGACAUAAGAGAUGAGAGAUUUUUAGGAUGACUCAAAGUAUUCCAAAUUUAUUUAUCAUGGACCUAUAUUUUGAAAAUAUUAUGCACACAAUACCAAGAAAUUCAGCGCAAGUUAAAGUUCGAUAUUAUGGUGUUCCUGACAACCUCCUGAGUGUGAUGAGCUUUUAAAAUUAAACUUUCUAUGUACUAAUCUCUAGAAAAGCGGAGUUGAAAAGUGAGUCUUUUGGUAUGUUAAACUUCUUACAACUACCAAGUAGAAAUUUUGUAAUAUCUUAUUGGUGAUUAAGGAGAGUUUUUUUUACCCAGUAGGUUGGGAAGAUAAGACAAAUGAAAAAAAUAAAAUUCUAUCAAAUUAUAACAUGCAGUGCUGACAGGGGGCAGACAAAUUCUCUUUUCAGCCCUGCUUUUCUCCUGAUUGGCACAUGGAAAGUUAGGUCAUAAACUCAUUGUCUUUAUAAUGUGGUGAGGAACAUCAUAUCAAAUACAUCGCAACAAAACUAUAUCGAAAUUUAACCAGCAUCUAAUUUCUUGGUAUUGUGUAUGUGGUCCUUUGCAGGGUGUCUAGCAUCAGGAAAAACCGGAGAAACCGGAAAAUAUCAGGAAUUUUUCUUACGCGAAUCUUCUCAGCGGAGGAAGUCUUACUGCUUUUUGCCUACCGUGCCAGUUGUCAAGAAAAAUCAGGACAAUAUCAGGAAUUUUCAAAAUGAAAGUAUCAAAAUUUUUCAAAAUUAAAAAAUACUAAAUACCCUGAUUUGGCAAAAUAAAGAUCUGAAAGAAUAUCUACAAUCUCUUACCAUAAGCCAAUAUUCCAAGAGUGAUCCGCAUACGUUUCAUUGCCUUUAUUUCUCUUAUAUUACUCAAAAAAGACCUUUAAAAUCCACCCAUCUCUGAGGGAGGUGAACCAGUGUAAUGUGAUGUUAUUUUUAUGUAUGAAAUUGCAUUGUUGAGGGAUAACUAAUUUAAUUUCUUGUUGUGUUUUGUUUAAAUUUACUAAUUCAUUACUUCAUGUGCUGAUGUUUCAUCCUUUUUCUAAUGCCUUCUUUCACUUGCAUUAACGCCUGUCAUUGCUUUUUAUUUUAUGCAUCAGGAGCAGUCUACCGAGUUAGUUCCGCUGAGUCGAUUCCGAGAUCAGAGCGUACGUAACUUCAUCUUUUAUCUAUCAUCUCUUUUCAUCUGUGUGCUUAUAUUCAAUGAGGGAAGCAUUUUUGAUUUCAAAACUUUUUUGAUGCUAUGUAUUUUGUUAAUGUAUCAUUCAAGCGUUCAGGGGUGCAGAAAGUUCUUAGCCUUCCUAUUUUAAAACCUUAUUUCCUCCAAAAUUAAAAAAGUUAUGACCUUCCCCCCCCCCCCCCCCCCCCAUUUCGUCUGUUGUGAUUGUGUAAAAAACUUGCCAAUUACUCUACAAUAUUCAAAUUCUCAACUAUAAAUAUGUGAAUUUCUCCGUAAAUCUACAUAAAGAAGAUUAUGCUAUUUUGAUGCUGUUAUAAGCUGCCCUUUCCAAGUUCUCAAGUUUCCCAUCUAUUUACGUGAGCUGCCACACGAUUACCCUUAUAUGAUCAGGAAAUUUUUGCACUCCUGAAAGCAGUGGUGGCAGAGUGAUUUUCUAUGCUGAAAAUUACACCUCUGCCCUUUUUUAAAUUUUAUAAUAAGAAGUCUAUUGUUGUGCUUUUUUAUGUUUUGGAAUCGUCCUGACAGCGUGAUGGCCCAAAGGUUUUUCUAUUUCUUUUAAGUUCCAUCUCUCCCUAACUUUUUAGUCUUUAUCAUGCAUGGAAACAAUAAUCAAACUUUUCCUUCAGAAAAUUCAAACCAAAAACGAUCAUUCAAAGAUUGCAUCCAAUUUUUAACAAAGGAAAUGCUACUCUUGCAUGCACAGCAAUAUUGAAUGGAUGUAUGUUAAUCCAUUUGGAAGGCCUGCUGAAGGAAUUAAAAGAGUUAUGAUUCGCUUUGUGUAUUGUUCAUAGCUCUGAAAGUUUUUGUCCCCACCUCCCCCUUUAAGUCUCUGUAAACUAAUGUUUGAAGAUGCAGCCAUAAAUUUUUUGUCCAGUGCAUCAAAUGCCGAAAAAACUUAUAAUUGAAAGGUAGAGUUAAGUGAAUGGCUUAGUAUUUGGUUUUAGAGUUUAUACUGAUUGUGAGUCAUUUCAACACACCUGUGUCUUAACACUGAAGCAAUGAAUCAGCCAGCCAUUUGACUCAGUCUCAGUUUUUGUCUUAUUGAAUGGAGCUUACAAAAAUACUUUUUCUCUCUUGAAAGUGAUGCUCGGGCUAUUUGUACUAGUAAAUUACAAAAUGUGCUGAAAAAGAAAAAUCACAGAAUAACGAAAUUGCAAACUAUUUUAGGAAGUUCUGAACAUGAGUAUUGAAUGACUUAUUUGGAAAACUGCUAAAACUUUCUUGGAAACUAAAAACACUUGGUUGUAACAAACAUUGUUUUUUGAAUGAAAAGCCUUCUAGAGUUUUGGAGCAUGUUCAUCAGAUACCAAAAAAAAGGAAUAGGCGUACCUUGCUGUUUUGUGAUUUGAGAUUCCGAAGUUGAAUUUUUAACUUCCAAGUUGAGUCGUUUUUGUAUCAAGGCAUUCAAAUAAGUUCAGCAUAUUAAGGAUAUGAAGCUGCGUCACGAAACGGCUUGAAUAAGAAUAAUUUAAAGUAUGCAUCAUUAAUUUAUUACUUGUCAGCUCUAGUAGCUGUGUAUCAGCGGUGAGAUUAUGAAAACACUUAUCUUGAUUACGAUUCUUCAAAAUUUCUAUUUCCACUUUGUGAAGUAACAUUUUGCUGAAAGGAGGUUUCUUCACUUUGUAAGAGUUAGUCUUUUCCUCCUUUCAUUUGCUGUGAGUUCAUCAUUCUUGCUCUGUAAUCCAGGAAUUCAGGCAGAAAGUAUUUAUAGUCUAUCAUUGCAAAGUUUGCCUGCCUAGUGGCACUAUGCCUCUAGGGCAAACAUCAACUUAAGACUUCUGAGUUUAUUGUCAUCAUAUUUUUGUUAUAGAUAAUGUAGAAUCAGUGCCAAAGAAAC
This 4442-nucleotide long non-coding RNA is filed under the name Bemisia tabaci. Its description in RNAcentral is "lncRNA ENSSWEETPG009032". The record is from RNAcentral. Lineage: Eukaryota; Metazoa; Arthropoda; Insecta; Hemiptera; Aleyrodidae.